RNAcentral lists this ribosomal RNA (460 nucleotides) under uncultured bacterium. RNAcentral's name for it is "partial 16S ribosomal RNA". It matches the Rfam family "Bacterial small subunit ribosomal RNA", at positions 338 to 795 of the family's 1533-position model. The record is from RNAcentral.
CCUACGGGGGGCAGCAGUGAGGAAUAUUGGUCAAUGGACGAGAGUCUGAACCAGCCAAGUAGCGUGAAGGAUGACUGCCCUAUGGGUUGUAAACUUCUUUUAUAUGGGAAUAAAAUGUUCCACGUGUGGGCUUUUGUAUGUACCAUAUGAAUAAGGAUCGGCUAACUCCGUGCCAGCAGCCGCGGUAAUACGGAGGAUCCGAGCGUUAUCCGGAUUUAUUGGGUUUAAAGGGUGCGUAGGUGGAUUGUUAAGUCAGUUGUGAAAGUUUGCGGCUCAACCGUAAAAUUGCAGUUGAAACUGGCAGUCUUGAGUACAGUAGAGGUAGGCGGAAUGCGUGGUGUAGCGGUGAAAUGCUUAGAUAUCACGAAGAACUCCGAUUGCGAAGGCAGCUCACUGGACUGCAACUGACACUGAGGCUCGAAAGUGUGGGUAUCAAACAGGAUUAGAUACCCUUGUAGUC